This is a microRNA precursor of Culex quinquefasciatus (southern house mosquito), 81 nucleotides long. It matches the Rfam family "mir-2941 microRNA precursor family". Lineage: Eukaryota; Metazoa; Arthropoda; Insecta; Diptera; Culicidae. The record is from Rfam.
GUUGAAUUUCGCUGGAGUUCUGCCGGAUUGCAUUGACGAUUGGAAAUUUGUAGUACGGCUAGAACUCCACGGACAUUCGAC